Molecule: ribosomal RNA, 509 nt
Filed under: uncultured bacterium
Lineage: Bacteria
Description: bacterial SSU rRNA
Rfam family: Bacterial small subunit ribosomal RNA
Source: RNAcentral
GAGUUUGAUCGUGGCUCAGAUUGAACGCUGGCGGCAGGCCUAACACAUGCAAGUCGAGCGGUAGAGAGAAGCUUGCUUCUCUUGAGAGCGGCGGACGGGUGAGUAAUGCCUAGGAAUCUGCCUGGUAGUGGGGGAUAACGCUCGGAAACGGACGCUAAUACCGCAUACGUCCUACGGGAGAAAGCAGGGGACCUUCGGGCCUUGCGCUAUCAGAUGAGCCUAGGUCGGAUUAGCUAGUUGGUGAGGUAAUGGCUCACCAAGGCGACGAUCCGUAACUGGUCUGAGGGGAUGAUCAGUCACACUGGAACUGAGACACGGUCCAGACUCCUACGGGAGGCAGCAGUGGGAAUAUUGGACAAUGGGCGAAAGCCUGAUCCAGCCAUGCCGCGUGUGUGAAGAAGGUCUUCGGAUUGUAAAGCACUUUAAGUUGGGAGGAAGGGCAGUAAAUUAAUACUUUGCUGUUUUGACGUUACCGACAGAAUAAGCACCGGCUAACUCUGUGCCAGCAG